CUCAACUCAUUGGUAUAGGAAUAUGAUAUGACGACUUCUUCCCUGAGCUUUCAAGGACGGUCUUCUUCCUCUUCUUUCGCCCUCGCCCCUCCAUGUAGCCAUGAUGUGUUCCUAAGUUUCAGAGCCAAAGACACCGCCCACACUUUUACUGCCCAUCUAUACAACGCUUUGCAUCAAAGAGGGCUCAACGCCUUCAUUGAUGACGACGAGCUCAGAAGAGGAGAGGAAAUCUCGCCACCACUUGUCAAAGCCAUCGAAAACUCUAGGGUUUCGAUCGUUGUACUCUCUAAGAACUACGCGUCUUCCUCGUUGUGCUUGGACGAGCUGAUAAAGAUCCUUGAGUGUAAGCAGAAAAACAAACAAAUGGUUCUGCCCGUGUUUUACAAGCUAGAUCCGUCGCAUGUACGCCAUCAAAUCAAAAGCUUUGGAAAAGCAUUGGCUAAACUUCAAGACAGGGUCAACGAUGACAUCAAGUUGCAGAAAUGGAGGAAAGCCCUCAAUCAACUCGCCAAUUUGUCUGGGUGGCAUAUAGGAAAAGGGAAUGGAUCUAAAUUUAUCCUUGAAAUUGUUCAAGCGGUCUCAAGAAUAGUAAAUCGUACAUACUUAAACGUUGCCAAGUAUCCAGUUGGAAUAGACUCUCGUGUACAUGAGAUCAAUUUGUUGUUAAGUCUUGAGAGGAAUGACAUUACAUGCAUGGUGGGGAUACUUGGUGUUGGAGGAAUCGGUAAGACGACUAUUGCCAAAGAGAUCUAUAACUUGAUUGCUUAUCGGUUUGAAGGUAGUUGUUUUCUUGCAAAUGUUAGAGAAACUGCAAAGCGAGAGUGCGGUUUGGUCCAACUGCAAGAGACACUACUUUCUGAGAUUCUAGAAGACUCUAGAAGUUUGAAGGUUGGCCUUGUUGCUCGAGGAAUCAAUGUGAUAAAGUAUAGGCUUUGUUCUAAAAGGGUUCUUUUAAUUCUUGAUGAUGUGGAUCAGUUGAUCCAAUUAGAAGCAUUAGCUGGGGAAUGUAAUUGGUUUGGUUUAGGAAGUAGAAUCAUCAUAACAACUAGAGAUGAAAAACUCUUGACUAAUCCUCAUGUUGAAUUAAUGUACAAGGUGAAAGAAUUGGAUCACAACGAAGCUCUUCAGCUCUUUUGUUGGAAUGCCUUCAAAAGAGACAAACCUAUUGACGAUUAUGUGGAGCUUACAGAAAAUAUAAUACAUUAUGCUAGGGGCCUUCCACUGGCUUUAACUGUGCUAGGUUCAGAUCUACAUGGUAGAAGUAUAAAUGAAUGGACAAGUGCAUUGGAUAAGUACAAAAGAAGUCCUAACAAAAGUAUUCAAGAAAUACUUAAAGUAAGUUAUGAUGGAUUGGAUGAUAAUGAAAAGGAUAUUUUCCUUGAUAUUGCAUGUUUUUUCAAAGGAAAACCUGCAGAUUAUGUCAUCAAAAUACUAGACGGUUGUGGUUUCUCCUCAGAUAUUGGAAUCAAAGUGCUUAUGGAGAAGUCUCUUAUAACUGUUGAUCAGCCUAACAAAUUUGUAAUGCAUGACUUGCUACAAGAAAUGGGUAGAGAAAUUGUUCGACAAGAAUCACCCACAGAACCUGGGGAACGUAGUAGGUUGUGGUUUCAUGAAGACGUUUGUCAUGUACUAGAAGAAAAUACAGGAACAAAUAAAAUUGAAGGGAUAUUGGUAGAUUUGCCUGAACGAGGCAUGAUACGUGUGAGUCCUCAAGCCCUCACGAAGAUGAAAAGGCUCAGACUGUUUAUAAAUCGUAAUGCACACUUUUCGGAAGGGCCUACUUAUCUCUCUAAUGAAUUAAGAUUGCUUGAUUGGCCUGAAUAUCCUUUACAAUCUUUUCCAUCUAAUUUUCAUGGACGGAAGCUCAUUGUUUUUAGAAUGCGUAAUAGUCUCUUCAAGGAAUUGGAGAGGUUCAAGAAUUUUCAAAACUUGACAGCUAUGGAUGUCUCGAGUUGUCAAUUCCUAACAAAAAUUCCUGAUCUUUCAAGGACCCCAAAUUUAGAAGAAUUGACUGUUGAUAAUUGUACAAGUUUAGUUGAGGUUCAUCAUUCUGUUGGAUUACUUGAUAAGCUUGUCAUUUUGAGACUUGUAGGAUGCUCUAACCUUAGGAGCUUUCCAAGAAGGCUGAAGUUGAGAUCUCUAGAAAGUCUUAUGCUUGAAGAUUGCACAAGGCUUGAGAACUUUCCUGAAAUUGAGUGUAAAAUGGAAAGGUUAGGAUACAUUGGCCUAAAAUGCACUCCUAUAAAAGAAUUGCCUUUAUCUAUUGAGUGUGCCGUUGGGCUUCAAGAUUUAAAUCUAGAAGGUUGUGAAAACCUUAUGAAUCUCCCAAGUAGCAUUCAUCAGCUGAAACGUCUAAAGAGACUUUCUCUCAGAGAUUGUUCAAAAUUUGUCAAGUUUCCAUCGAAAGUGGGGGAUAACAGUCUAUCUAUGCCCUCUAUUGCGUCUACAAAGGAACCUGAAAUUUUGUCAAGUUCAGAAUUAAACUUUUGCCCGCCUCCAUUAAAUUCAUGCGUUUGUAAUGAUGGUUGUUCCUCAAGUGUAUUUCCGACACUGGGAAGGUUGGAUCUUGGAAACUGUGCCCUAUCGAAAUCAGAUUUCUUUAUGACGAUUAAUUGCAUUUCCUCGUUGGAACAAUUAGAUCUAUCAGGAAGCGAUUUUGUUAGCAUUCCUGCAUUCAUCAAAAGAUUUGUUGGAUUGAGGUGCCUAAAAGUGGCUGAUUGCAAGCAACUUCAAGAAAUUUUAGAACUUCCACCAAAAAUAGAAGAUAUAGAUGCAAGUGGGUGCAUAUCAUUGGAAAGAUUUUUUGUAUUAUCAAAAAGAUUUCAAUUUGAUACAUGCCACUUCCCGGGGCUUGAAUGGAUUGACUUGUCGAGGUGCCAUAAAUUGCUUGAGAAUGUAGGGAAUGAUGUGGAAAAUCUUUUAUUGGAUGAGGGAUCUUUUGAGGACCAUCAAUUUGGCAUUAUAUAUCCGGGAAAUAAGAUUCCAAAUUGGUUUUGCCAUCUUAAGGAGGCUUCAAAUGCUAAUAAAUGCGAAAUAGAUAUUUACCAGCCUUCACAUUUGGAUGGGGAGAUCAGAGGAAUUGCUGUGUGUGUUGUUGUUGGAAUAAAGGAUGGACAAAUACCCAUUCACGCUCUUUGUAAUGUUGAGAUCAUCAUUGAUGGUUUACCAAGGUAUGGUGACGACAAAGCAUUUCAUUUAUCAGGCCCAGAUCAUGUGUGGUUUCUAUACCAUGUUCCUGAAUUUAAUGAGCUAAAGGGGGACAAUCUGCGAGUUAAGUUUUGGUCCUCCACAAGUUCAGUGUUCUUCAAAAGUUGUGGAGCACAUCUAGUUCGCAGGAAUGAAGAGAAAGCGAAAGGGAAAAGUCAAAUGUUGAGUCCUUUGCAUCGAGGUGUUCUCCAAAAGGAUGUGGAUGUACUUGACGGAAAUAUAGAAAAUUCAGUGGAUUUCAUGGAUGGUAUUCAACCUACUAAAAGACGCCAUGAUGAUGAUGAUGAUAAUGGUAACUUGGAAUCCAAUUGGUACCCACAUCAUAAGAGGUGUGUUUCAACCUUGGGCAUCAGAAUUUCAGAUGCAGAGGAUACUUCCACUUUGUGAAUCACAACCACAUCAAUCAAAUCACACCACUGACACCAGCACUUAAACCUACAGGCGUUUCCCUCACUAAGGACCAAUAGUGCUUGAUAACUCUGAUAGAUUUGGUGGGGGGUGCCAUAUGGGUUGUUCUGCCCAAAGAUUAGCUCUGUUUCUAAAUUUAGGAAGUACAAGAAGUUGGGGGAAUGGAAGAGUUGGAAAAUGAAAUCCAACGAAGGAUCAAGCAAUCCAAAGGUUCUUAUGAUAGUCAAUUAUAGAAAUAGGUUGGUCUUUUCAAUUGUUUUUUAAUGUUUAAUUUUUAAAAAAUACUGCUGAUGUGGCAUAAUGAUGUGGCAGACCAUUAUGUUUUUGGACAAAACAUGGAUGGAGGGACUGAUUCUGAUAACGAGACAACGCUAGGUAUUACCUGUGAUAAUUUUUGAAACCGAGAUACCUAUUUGAUAAUGGUCCAAAGCACUGAUACCAAAAUUGCAUUUAA
Molecule: RNA transcript, 4069 nt
Organism: Alnus glutinosa
Lineage: Eukaryota; Viridiplantae; Streptophyta; Magnoliopsida; Fagales; Betulaceae
Gene name: TMV resistance protein N-like
Exons: 6
Source: RefSeq, a predicted model, not a curated record